This is a long non-coding RNA of Argiope bruennichi, 362 nucleotides long. RefSeq lists it as uncharacterized. The record is from RefSeq and is a predicted model, not a curated record. NCBI's taxonomy places the organism in Eukaryota, Metazoa, Arthropoda, Arachnida, Araneae, Araneidae. The transcript has 2 exons.
GAAAUGGACUGAUAUUCAUGAUAGAUUUUUAAUUGUAAAUAUUACUUGGCGAUUAUUUGGCGCUGAUUAGCAUGAUGCAGUAAUGAGAAGAAGUGUUUGUUUAUUAAAUGUUGAUUACGUACCGGAUGAAAGGAAAAUAAUAGAAAUCUGUUAAAUUUCGAUUGCGGAUUGUGAGAAUCCUUGAUGAAUGGUGUAAUUUUGGGAUGAGCCCGGGCAGUAAGAAGGAUUGCAUUGUCACCUCAUCUUUCCGGCGAAAAGCGACAGCUAUAAGAAAGCCAGGCUUGCUACAUGCUGCGCAUUUUGGAUGGAAUCCGGUACCAAGAAAUAAAAAAGAAGAAUUCCUCCUGUAGAUUUGUUUACCA